This 10695-nucleotide long non-coding RNA is filed under the name Sorghum bicolor (sorghum). RNAcentral's name for it is "long non-coding RNA (SBIC_LNC008657)". Lineage: Eukaryota; Viridiplantae; Streptophyta; Magnoliopsida; Poales; Poaceae. The record is from RNAcentral.
UAUGCUAACACUUAAUCAGUUCCACAAAGCUUUGUUGUCUAUUUGAGCUUCACAGAAUUUAAGAAUCGAGAAGACUAGCAGACGGAGGACAUUCUAAUCGCUGUCAGAAUGCUGCUGACUUUCAAAUACACUUCUGCCACCUGCUAGCUACAUCAAGGGAAAUUACGUCAAAAUCCAGCUUGGGAGAGAGCACCCCCAUUUAUCCCAAUAAGUAUUUCUAUCUAUCUUUAUACUUUUACUAUAUUAAAAUAUAAAUAUACAUAAUUAUGGAAAACCAAAUAAAGAUUUUAUGCUUAUAUAUAUAUAUAUAUAUAUAUCUUUUGCUUAGUUUAAUAAAUAAAUAAAGUGGCUAUGCUAAUCUGAAUCUUAAUAAUAAAACUCUAGCAUGGAUAUGAUGAAUAGUUGCUCUGCCUAAUUUUAAAAUUUUGAAGUCCUCUCUCAAGUUUAGACAUAACUGUUAUAAUUUAAAGCUUGCUCUAAACCUAAACUUGUGGGAAGAAAACUUGAUCUGAAGUCUAAGUUGUUAACGGAUAUGAUAUGGGAAGGUUGAGCUGCUGUUUAUCUGUUCCUAGAGAUGCUAGAAUUCUGGAGAAUUUUAUCUUUGAAAAAUAUUUAUAAUGUUGCAUGAUGAGUUCUGUAUGAUGAGAGUUUAAAUUCCUACCACAGCCAUAUAUACAUGCUUGCUAGACUUUGAGCCACACAUUUACUAUUUACUGCUUAUGAACAUUGAGUGUGGUCAAGCUGUGUAGACCCUUAGGAGCUUAUCAUGUAGUUAAAUCAAGAUUCACUUGCACGUUCACUCACAUAUGCUGCUUCUACUCUAGAAGUACCAUCCACAUAUAUCCAUCCAUUUCCAUCUCGAGAACCACCCAAAAAUAUUCUACUCCUAAUCCGGGAGAGAAUAGCCAAAAAUAUUUCUGUUUUUCCAUGUGAAAUAAAUGCUCAAGUUGUCUUGUUACUACCACUUGCUAUAUUAUCUCAAGAGAUGAGUGCUCUAAAAAAAGAGAAGAAAAAAGAGAUAUGAGGAAAUAAAAAGGGGCAAGUGCCCGGAACCUCGAAAGAAAAGAAAAAGUGAGACGAGAGGUAAAAAUGGACAAGUGUCCGUCAGUAGAAUUAGGGGUACAAGAUGCCCACCUGAGAGGAAAGAAAAAAAAGAAGAGCAUCUCAUUCUCCUCACAAAGUUUCAAAAAAGCAAGGAAGGUAUGUAUGCCCUCAAAGAGCAAAAGUAGAAUUAGACUUUCACCAUUGUUAUCACCAUCAUCACCAUACACCAUUCGUUCGCCACACAUGCACAUCUUGAUUUGACUUAUUGAUUUGUUUCUUUUGAUCCAUGGUUUGACUAUACAAUAAAUAAUGUAAGUAUGUAUACUUUAUCUCCCAUCUAUGAGCUCCAGAUAUUAAAGCCUUAUUAGAGUAGGGUGAGAGAGAAGGCAAUGUUACUAUGCUUUAUACCACAAAUACCACAUACUAUAUAGUUUUGAGAGAAGGCAUAUACCAUCACUGCCUUGGUAAGGAUCCAGAAAUACCACAAAAGAGAGAUUUGAGAGAAUCAUACAAGGAAUCUCUGAGUUUUAUUUGAAAAUCUGCAAAAACUCCAGAGCUAUAGCUGAUCAAGAAUAAGAGACAUGGCACUUGACUAGACUGUUCUAUCUUUUAACUACUCAAGACAGAAGUGACGGUUACAAGUCCCAUGGUGAAAGGUAAAAUGAAUAAGUUUUAAGUCUUGACAGUUUACUCUAACUCAGAGAUGAGACCUCAUUUGAAAGCAUGUGUACCAUCAAUUUUUAAAGAUAUUGCAACAACUUAUGAUCCAUCGCUGAGUCUAUCCUUGCUCAGGGACGAGCAAGAGGUAAGCAUGGGGGAGUUUGUUCAUGGUCCUUAAGUAUCAAAUUUAAUUAUCAAAUAAACAAAGAAAAGGAUCCAAAUGAAAUCAACAUCCAGACUUAGGGUUUUAUCUGACAGAAUUCCACAAGUUUUGGUGUUUGUCUAUUUCUACAGGGGGUUAUCUGGAAAUACGGAAGAAAGGCCCACACGUCGGGAUUACAUAGAGAUAUCAACGUGCCGCGCAAUUAUCUUACAUCUAGAAGACUCUAGAAGCCACGGGAAGGAAGCGGAGGCUGAACGGGGCCUGGCCCUGGGCGCCCACCCAGGAGACCAGGGCGCCCGCCCACCUCUGGAGUCCAAUCAGGACUCUCUCUCGGGAAAGCUCUCCACCGACCUAAAGGAUCAAGGAUAACCGUUCAAUCAAUGUCGGUUUGAUCCAACGGCCCAUAUUCACUUGAAGGGACUAUAAAACCAGACCCCCUGGCCCCUAGAGGAGGGAGCCUCUCAACCCUAAUUCAUUAUUCCUCAAGGGAGAAGAAGCCUCUGAUCAAGAUUAGAGCCACCACAUCAAUUAGACAUCUAGAUUAGCAUAGCUACAUAGGAUUAGAACUAGAAGGAGUCAAUCUUCGAUUGGUUUCCGGAUCUUCGAUUGGCUUCUAAUUGUUCUUCUAAUCAUCUUUGUUCUUCAAUAUUAUGAAUAUGACUUUGUUCUACUUCAAUAUAUUGCUUAUGACUUUGCUCUACUUGUUUAUAUUCAAGAUUAUAUUGUUCUUAGUUUAUCAUAGUUAUGUACUUGGCUUAGUUAGAUUGGAUCUAUAUACAUGCUUAGGAUCGUAUAGCGUUUAUCCAUCGGAUCCAUGGGUAAAUGAUAGAUAUUGUGUAGGCGUGGUGCUUAUGCUAUAUUUAUCUGCGAUUGUACCCAAUAUGCCAGAUCGUGAGGUAGUUCGUGAUAGUGACAGCUUCAUUGAUUCUUAUAUAGUCCCCCUCUCGUGUAUUGGGCUGGCAGAGCAAUAUUAUUACAGAGGAGUGAUUGCUAUGUUUUCAUUUACCUUGCUAAUAUCACUAUGCAUGGGCGUAGUCUUGUCUCGCAAUGAUUGCUAAGUAUGCUUGCACUAACUAUGAUAAUGCUAGACUAUAUAGUUGAGAAUAACUUAGGAAAUAUUCUUGUAGUUCGUUCUAAUACCAUGCUAAUGACUUUCUAGAGUAUCUAAUUGAGAUGGUUAUCAUAUUUAUUAUGUGGCUAAGUUAUGCUGAUCAGAUUAAUUAUCUUUGUCACUAUUUAUUACUUCAUAUAUCUUUUACGUGACACUUACCUCUGUAUGAAAGAAUUAUAUAAAUGUUCUUAAUUAUACAUGCAAUGAAAAAUACUCAAUCUCAUAUUCCAUUCUGUAAUCAACUUUGAUGAUUGUUAAUCCCUUCCCAGUGGUAAAAAUAUAAAUAACGAUACCUGGAAUACUUCCUAGUUAAAAUGCUACAUCGGUAUUAAUCUGUGCGCUUGCAGAUCCCAUUCAUUAUUUAUUUAGAAGAGCAAUUGCAUAUUUCAAUACCGCGUCUCUCAUGUCAUGCUGGGGAUGACAACUUGGCUUAAGUGGUAUGAGGGAUAGGUUUGGCAUUUUUGGCACCAUUACUAGAAUUAGAAAACUGUCUACUUUUGGUAAUGAUGUUAAGAAUACCCAACACGUUUGACUCCCAGUUCGACAGCCAAUUGCAUGCCAUGCAAGCAAGCUUCGUAUUCGGCGACGUUGUUGGAUGCUGGAAAGAGGAUCCGAAGGACGUAACGUAGUUUGUCCUUGUUUGGUGAGACGAAAAGUAUUCUGGCACCAGCUCCAUUGAUGUUGAAGGAUCCAUCGAAGAACAUUGACCAGUGGUCGGAGACAUCUGGGGAGGGGGGCUCGUUGAGAUCCGUCCAUUCUGCGAUAAAGUCGACCAGGGCCUGAGACUUGAUGGUGGUGCAACUCUGGAAAUCUAAAGAAAAUGGGCAUAACUCCAUUGCCCACUUUACAAUUCUUCCGUUGGCCUCUUUGUUGCGCAAAAUGUCCCCUAAUAGAAAACUGGUAGUAACUAACACCCGAUGGCCGUCGAAGUAGUGCUUCAGCUUUCUUGAGGUGAUUAGGAUGGCGUAGAUUAGUUUUUGUAUCUGAGGAUACUUGGUUUUGGAUUGGUUUAGUACUUCGCUUAUGAAGUAUACGGGCCUCUGGACUUUGUAGACGUGCCCUGGUUCCUCCCGCUCAACCACAAGCGCCGUGGAGACGACCUGAUCAGUUGCUACUAUGUAAAGUAGCAGGUCCUAAUUAGGUUGGGGUGCGGUGAGGACGGGUGGUGAGGUAAGGAAAGUUUUGAGCUGGGUGAACGCAGCGUUAGCCUCUUCUAUCCAGGAGAAUUUUUCCGAUGCUUUUAGCAGUUUGAAAAAGGGGUGGCCUUUUCCCCCCAGCCUAGAGAUGAACCGGCUGAGAGCAGCCAUGCAUCCGGUGAGCUUUUGAAUGUCUUUGACGUUCCUGGGUGGUCCCAUAUCGAGCACUGCCUUAACUUUUGAAGGGUUCGGCCGUAUGCCGUCAUGGCUGACGACGUUGCCGAGCAGUAGACCAGAGGGGACCCCAAAGAUACACUUUUUGGGAUUGAGCUUCCACUUGUAUAUAUUUAGCGCUUUAAAAGUGCGAUCCAAGUUGUCGAUCAGGGUGCUCGCAUCCCUAGUUUUGAUGACAACGUCAUCAACGUAGGCCUCGACGAGGUCGUCACGUAUCUCGUCGCAGAGGCAUUGCUGAAUAGCGCGUUGAUAGGUGGCCCCAGCGUUUUUCAGUCCAAAGGACAUGGUGGUGUAACAAUAUGCGACAAAAGGAGUGAUGAAGGAAGUUUUGAUUUGGUCGUCUUCCUUUAGUGAGAUCUGGUGAUAACCAGAGUAACAGUCAAGAAAAGAGAGGAGUUCGCAUCCGGCCGUUGAAUCGACCACCUCGUCGAUACGUGGGAGACCGAAAGGAUCUUUAGGACAGUGUUUAUUGAGAUCAGUGUAAUCAACACACAUUCUCCAUUCAUUAUUCUUUUUUCUUACAAGGACCGGAUUGGCAAGCCAAUCGGGGUGAUACACUUCCUUAAUAAAUCUGGCUGCUAAAAGUCGUUUAAUUUCUGUCCUAAUAGCCUUCUUUUUGUCAUGAGCGAACCGUCGCAGCUUCUGCUUGAUAUGUCUUGCAGUCUUCGAGACGAUUAAGGAGUGCUCGAUCAGGUUUCUUGAGACACCGGGCAUGUCUGUGGGUUUCCAUGCGAAAAAGCUUACGUUGUCCCUUAGAAACCUAACGAGCGCGUCUUCCUAUUUGGCGUCCAGGUUGGCCCCAAUGAGAGCCGUCUUCUCUAGGCUGCCGUCGACCAACUGUACUUCCUUGUGCUCUUUGGACUUAGAGCUUUUCCUAGGAAUCUUCUGCUCGGGUAUUCGGAUCUGGUCGGAGGGAAUUUGUGUGGCUUGAGCUACAGUUUUUGCCAUAUGAAUCGAGAGAUCGAUUGCCUCAGUGAUCUUGAAGCUUUCCUCCUCGCAAAUGUAUACGGUGUAGACGUUGCCUCUAACGGUUAAGACGCCCUUCUCUGUUGGCAUUUUGAGGACCAGGUAUGAGUAGUGUGGAACUUACAUGAAUUUGGUCAGCGAGGGGCGGCCUAGAAUUGCGUGAUAGGUUCCGUCGAAGUCAGCGACCACAAAGUUGACGAACUCUGUGCGGAAGUGGUCUGGCGUUCCAAACUAGACGGGCAGCGUUAUCUGUCCAAGGGAUACUGAACUUUGACCCAGUAGGACGCCCCAAAACUGAGCGUCAUACGGCUUCAGUUGUGGACAAGGAUGUCAAUAGAGCUACCCCCGUCAACGAGCACGCGCUCGAACCUAACGCUGUUGAUGCACGGGUCCAGGAUCAGAGGGAAACACCCUAGUUCUGGGAUGGCGGCCCACUGGUUUGGCAUUUUUGGCACCAUUACUAGAAUUAGAAAAUUGUCUACUUUUGGUAAUGAUGUUAAGAAUACCCAACAAGCAUUUUUGGCGCCAUUACCGGGGAAGGUUGAUUAAUAAUCAGGAAUGAAUAAAGGAUUUUGGGUUAUCAUUCGCAUCACUAAUAUGAUUGAGCUUAUCAAUUCUCUCAUACAGUUUUACCUCGAUAUUUCUCUAUUUUUAUCUUAUGCAGGGGAAUGUAUGAAUAGAAGACAUCUUCCAGGAAAUUUUGUUGACAAUCCCGAAGCUUUAUUCAGAAAAACUAGAGCCAAGCUCAAGAAGAGAUCAUCAACACUUCACCAAGAAGCUUGAUCCAAUCAAGAAGAUCACUGGAACUUGUCUUCAGAGUUUGAAGCCAUGGCGAACAAAUCGAUCCGCUAGUUCUCAGCUCCCACUAUGGACAACAUCCGCACCGGACCUGCUGCAGAGAUCGAUGGCAACUUUGAGCUCAAGCCUGGACUUAUCAACAUGGUGCAAUCCAACCAGUUCUGUGGGAAGGCACACGAAAAUGUUAGUGCUCAUCUCCAACACUUCCUAGAGAUUUGCAGCACAUUUACCAUAUCAGGAGUCCCCAAAGAUGCUAUACUACUUUGCAUUUUCCCAUUCUCACUGUUAGGAAGAGCGAAGCAGUGGUUCUACGCUACAAAGGAGAAGAAUACUACGUGGGCACUCUGCUCAACAAACUUCCUGGCUAAGUUCUUUCCCAUGGGCAAGACCAAUGCUCUCCGUGGGAAGAUUACAAGUUUUCAGCAACAAAAUGAUGAAUCUGUUCUAGAAGCAUGGGAGCGCUUCCAAGACUACAUCCUAUAAUGUCCCCAUCAUGGAAUGGAGAGCUGGCUACUAAUGCAGAUAUUUUAUCAUGGGCUCGGCAACAGUGCCCGAGAGACCAUGGAUGCUGCAGCUGGAGGAGCAUUCCUAUCACUCACCAUAUCACAAGCCACAGCUCUUGCGGAGAAGAUGGCGUCCAAUCAAUGCUGGAAUGAAGAAAGGACCCAGACACGCAAGAGAGGUGGAGGUAUGCAUCAGCUCAAGGAGGUAGACAUGUUGUUUGCAAAGCUAUACCUGCUCAUGAAGAAGCUCGAUGAUAGAACUGGAGAUAAGAAAGAAGCUAUGCACAUCUACGACUCUCACAUGACUUGUGAGGAGUGUGGAGACACUGGACACUUAGGCAAUUACUGCCCUGAGAUGCUUGAGGAUGUGAACUACAUCAACAACAACAACUACUACUACUACAACCGUCCUCGACAAAAUCAAGGUUGGAAUCAACAGAGGUCUAACUACUCAGGUAAUUAUCAAGGUAAUAAUUCUUACAAUAAUACUAAUAAUUUUCCACCUUCGAGAGAGUUAGUGUCUAAUCAAGGAAAGCUAAUGGAUAACCUAUCUAAGAAAUUGGCAUCUAAUGAUAAAAUGCUAGAAAAUAUAAAUAAUAGAAUGGAUAAUUUCUCUACAGCCAUCAAGAAUCAAAUUAGCUUUAAUAAAAUGAUUGAAUCUCAGUUAAAUCAAAUAGCUGCUGCUGUUUCUACUACUAACCCCGGUAUACCAUCACAACCGGAAGGAUUAGAAUCUGUAAAUCUUGUAGACAUGUUUGAUGUAGGUAAUAACUGGAGUCACCCCAUCACCGAAUUCACUACUGACCUUCUGCCGGUCAAGAGAGGCGAUCCAGGAUGCCCCGUCAUCCCGAUCUCCAUCGGCAUGGUGGACGUCCCAGAAGCACUCUGUGACUUUGGCUCCAGCGUCAACAUUAUACCCAGGGUACUCUAUGAAAAAUUCUUUACACAUCCUUUAUUAGAAAUAACCAUGUGGUUGUAGUUUGCAAAUCAGGCGAUAAGUUUUCCAAAAGGAAUAUUGAAGAACCUUUGUGUCCGAGUUGGUACCUUAUAUGUCCCAGCAGACUUCGUGGUGAUAGAGACCGGUAAUGAUGAGAGACCACCCAUCAUCUUAGGGAGGCCAUUCUUAAACACCUCGGGAGCUGUCAUCUAUGCUAGUGCUGCCAAGAACAGUUUCUACAUCAAAGGGAGAAAGGAGACGUUUUCCUUCAAGAACAAGACUACACAAAUCCCAGAUCAAUCUAGACGUGAAUCAAGGAAGAGGACCAACAGGAGGAACAGGAACAAGCAAGUGUGGACCGAGUCAGCUAAGAUGGUCACUGCAGUUCAUGGAGGUCAAGAUCAUCAACUUAAGUCACCGUUUUUGACCAAGAAGGACGACCCAGGAAUGCCAAACAUCUAUUGCUCCAUAAAUGGAUACAACUUCUACAAGACGACUUGUGACACCGGAUCGGGCGUCAACAUAAUGGCUGCAGUCACCUAUCGGCUCUUGUUUGGAACCAUGCCCUUAAAACCAACAUACAUUCAACUCCAGAUGGCAGAUCAGAUAUUUCUAGAGGUUAAAGGAACAGUAACUGAUGUCCCUGGCAAAAUAGACGAUCAUUUUGUCUACACAGACUUUUAGGUUAUUGACAUGGGAGAAGACGAGUAAGAUCCACCCAUCAUCCUUGGAAGACCGUUCCUCAGCACCGUUAAAGCAAUUAUAUACAUUAGAACCGGAGAAGUCCAUAUGCACUUCCCUUAGAGAAGGUACGCCGUUAUUUUACUGACCCUAACUACAUCUUUGAAGAAUCUAAGAAGGUCAGAAAACGACGCAACCACAACCAGAGGAGGCAAAUCAUCAAGGACGGAUGGGCACACUAUGAAGGAGAAGUUGUAAGGUCAGGAGACGUACAGUUUAAACAGAAUUAUCCAGAGGAGACCGUAGCACCGAGUCAGGUGUGGAAAGAGAAGAUAACUAUACAUGAAGAUGAGGCGCCGCCGGAUGUACCGACUACGCCACCUAACGAAUCCCAGGACAAUUGAGAAAACGGAGAGUCCUGUUCGGAGGACUUAAAAACACCGAACGCCUUGCCAAGAGGUAAACUUGGUAGUUAUCCUUUCCCUUUCAAUUAUUUCAAACAAUUUGCUUAGUUAAUCAUGUUCAUACUAUCCCAAAAAGAAAAUAAAAAUGUUAAAAAAUAGUAAGCCCCAUGUGAGAAUACGAGUGACAUAAAACCCAUAAGUACAUUCACUGUGGUGGCAAAAAAAUAAAAUAAAAAGUAUUUUCUGCUCUAUAAAAUGAAAAUAUAAAAAAUAUGGAGUAAUAUUUAUUGAGGAGACUCAACAUGAUAAAGGCUAGAUAUUUAUGCUAACACUUAAUCAGUUCCACAAAGCUUUGUUGUCUAUUUGAGCUUCACAGAAUUUAAGAAUCGAGAAGACUAGCAGACGGAGGACAUUCUAAUCGCUGUCAGAAUGCUGCUGACUUUCAAAUACACUUCUGCCACCUGCUAGCUACAUCAAGGGAAAUUACGUCAAAAUCCAGCUUGGGAGAGAGCACCCCCAUUUAUCCCAAUAAGUAUUUCUAUCUAUCUUUAUACUUUUACUAUAUUAAAAUAUAAAUAUACAUAAUUAUGGAAAACCAAAUAAAGAUUUUAUGCUUAUAUAUAUAUAUAUCUUUUGCUUAGUUUAAUAAAUAAAUAAAGUGGCUAUGCUAAUCUGAAUCUUAAUAAUAAAACUCUAGCAUGGAUAUGAUGAAUAGUUGCUCUGCCUAAUUUUAAAAUUUUGAAGUCCUCUCUCAAGUUUAGACAUAACUGUUAUAAUUUAAAGCUUGCUCUAAACCUAAACUUGUGGGAAGAAAACUUGAUCUGAAGUCUAAGUUGUUAACGGAUAUGAUAUGGGAAGGUUGAGCUGCUGUUUAUCUGUUCCUAGAGAUGCUAGAAUUCUGGAGAAUUUUAUCUUUGAAAAAUAUUUAUAAUGUUGCAUGAUGAGUUCUGUAUGAUGAGAGUUUAAAUUCCUACCACAGCCAUAUAUACAUGCUUGCUAGACUUUGAGCCACACAUUUACAAUUUACUGCUUAUGAACAUUGAGUGUGGUCAAGCUGUGUAGACCCUUAGGAGCUUAUCAUGUGGUUAAAUCAAGAUUCACUUGCACGUUCACUCACAUAUGCUGCUUCUACUCUAGAAGUACCAUCCACAUAUAUCCAUCCAUUUCCAUCUCGAGAACCACCCAAAAAUAUUCUACUCCUAAUCCGGGAGAGAAUAGCCAAAAAUAUUUCUGUUUUUCCAUGUGAAAUAAAUGCUCAAGUUGUCUUGUUACUACCACUUGCUAUAUUAUCUCAAGAGAUGAGUGCUCUAAAAAAAGAGAAGAAAAAAGAGAUAUGAGGAAAUAAAAAGGGGCAAGUGCCCGGAACCUCGAAAGAAAAGAAAAAGUGAGACGAGAGGUAAAAAUGGACAAGUGUCCGACAGUAGAAUUAGGGGUACAAGAUGCCCACCUGAGAGGAAAGAAAAAAAAGAAGAGCAUCUCAUUCUCCUCACAAAGUUUCAAAAAAGCAAGGAAGGUAUGUAUGCCCUCAAAGAGCAAAAGUAGAAUUAGACUUUCACCAUUGUUAUCACCAUCAUCACCAUACACCAUUCGUUCGCCACACAUGCACAUCUUGAUUUGACUUAUUGAUUUGUUUCUUUUGAUCCAUGGUUUGACUAUACAAUAAAUAAUGUAAGUAUGUAUACUUUAUCUCCCACCUAUGAGCUCCAGAUAUUAAAGCCUUAUUAGAGUAGGGUGAGAGAGAAGGCAAUGUUACUAUGCUUUAUACCACAAAUACCACAUACUAUAUAGUUUUGAGAGAAGGCAUAUACCAUCACUGCCUUGGUAAGGAUCCAGAAAUACCACAAAAGAGAGAUUUGAGAGAAUCAUACAAGGAAUCUCUGAGUUUUAUUUGAAAAUCUGCAAAAACUCCAGAGCUAUAGCUGAUCAAGAAUAAGAGACAUGGCACUUGACUAGACUGUUCUAUCUUUUAACUACUCAAGACAGAAGUGACGGUUACAAGUCCCAUGGUGAAAGGUAAAAUGAAUAAGUUUUAAGUCUUGACAGUUUACUCUAACUCAG